RNAcentral lists this unclassified non-coding RNA (353 nucleotides) under soil metagenome. RNAcentral describes it as "partial contains 5.8S ribosomal RNA, internal transcribed spacer 2, and large subunit ribosomal RNA". The stretch from base 1 to 120 matches the Rfam family "5.8S ribosomal RNA", at positions 35 to 154 of the family's 154-position model. The record is from RNAcentral.
GAUGAAGAACGCAGCGAAAUGCGAUAAGUAAUGUGAAUUGCAGAAUCCAGUGAAUCAUCGAAUCUUUGAACGCACAUUGCGCCCGCCAGCAUUCUGGCGGGCAUGCCUGUUCGAGCGUCAUUACAACCCUCAGGCCCCCGGGCCUGGCGUUGGGGAUCGGCGGAAGCCCCCUGCGGGCACAACGCCGUCCCCCAAAUACAGUGGCGGUCCCGCCGCAGCUUCCAUUGCGUAGUAGCUAACACCUCGCAACUGGAGAGCGGCGCGGCCACGCCGUAAAACACCCAACUUCUGAAUGUUGACCUCGAAUCAGGUAGGAAUACCCGCUGAACUUAAGCAUAUCAAUAAGCGGAGGA